GACGAACGCUGGCGGCGUGCCUAAUACAUGCAAGUCGAACGAGACCGCCCCUUCGGGGGCAAUGGUCGAGUGGCGAACGGGUGAGUAACACGUGAGGAACCUGCCCCGGAGACCGGGAUAACCUUCCGAAAGGAUGGCUAAUACCGGAUGUCCUCGAUGGGUCGCAUGGCCCAACGAGGAAAGAGUCCGCUGCUCCGGGAGGGCCUCGCGGCCUAUCAGCUAGUUGGUGGGGGUAAUGGCCCACCAAGGCAUCGACGGGUAGCUGGUCUGAGAGGACGAUCAGCCACACUGGGACUGAGACACGGCCCAGACUCCUACGGGAGGCAGCAGUAGGGAAUCUUGCGCAAUGGGCGAAAGCCUGACGCAGCAACGCCGCGUGGGGGAAGAAGGCUCUCGGGUCGUAAACCCCUUUCAGCAGGGACGAAAUUGACGGUACCUGCAGAAGAAGGGCCGGCCAACUACGUG
This 465-nucleotide ribosomal RNA is filed under the name uncultured bacterium. RNAcentral describes it as "bacterial SSU rRNA". It matches the Rfam family "Bacterial small subunit ribosomal RNA", at positions 28 to 507 of the family's 1533-position model. The record is from RNAcentral.